AAACUUACUGUCUUUGUCUUGUAUUCUGCAGUUUUUGAGAAUAAAUCCUGUUAUACUCAGUUGAAUUCAGUAUUCUAUGCAAAUGUUGAUCCAAUAUUUUUGGCUAUUUAAAAUAUAUUGAUAAUUUAUUUAUUGAAUGAAAGGAUAAGCUUAAUACAAACUUUUUCAUUUUCAAUUAUCUGUCUGUCUCUGUCCUGAACAAAAAGUUUUGAAGAGGUCCAUUUCUUAGAUGUUAAACUACAUAUAGUGAAAGGCAUUAUGUUGCUUCUGUUUACAUAUAUAUAAAAUAAUCCACUUUUAGCUGUAACAUUAAACCAGUUUCAUUAGAUUCAAGAACUACAAGCAAGUGGUAUUUUAUGCUUUCCUUUAAAAAAGAUCUUUAUGCAUUACUCAUUCUAGGAUCCUGUCUGAUUCUAAAAUGUUGCUAUUAUAAAUAAUUGAGAGUUAUACUUUCACAUUUUAUAUAAACAAAAUUUAGCCCAAUCAAGAGAUUUAUUUUUAUAAGCUAUAAUUAUAAUAUUAUAUGAAAUCAUGUCUUGGAUUCAAUUAUGCUGUGCCUCUAGACUAGUUAAUGACCCAAUUAGCAUUGUCCCUAGACUAGGGAUGCACGGAACAAGGCCCACAGGCUGCACGUGUCCCUCCAUUGAUUUGUUGAUGGCCCACUCAUUAUGUAGUAUUUUAACAAGUCACACAAUCAAUGAAAUUAUUUGUAGUUUUGAACAAUACCUUUUCAAAUAAUAUUUUUCUGAUGUGAAAUUAUGUUCACAGUAGUUCG
This 775-nucleotide long non-coding RNA is filed under the name Androctonus crassicauda. The record is from RNAcentral. Lineage: Eukaryota; Metazoa; Arthropoda; Arachnida; Scorpiones; Buthidae.